RNAcentral lists this ribosomal RNA (383 nucleotides) under uncultured bacterium. RNAcentral describes it as "bacterial SSU rRNA". It matches the Rfam family "Bacterial small subunit ribosomal RNA", at positions 443 to 842 of the family's 1533-position model. The record is from RNAcentral.
GGAAGAAGAAAGACGGUACCUGACUAAGAAGCCCCGGCUAACUACGUGCCAGCAGCCGCGGUAAUACGUAGGGGGCAAGCGUUAUCCGGAUUUACUGGGUGUAAAGGGAGCGUAGACGGCUGUGCAAGUCUGAAGUGAAAGCCCAGGGCUCAACCCUGGGACUGCUUUGGAAACUGUGGAGCUAGAGUGCUGGAGAGGUAAGUGGAAUUCCUAGUGUAGCGGUGAAAUGCGUAGAUAUUAGGAGGAACACCAGUGGCGAAGGCGGCUUACUGGACAGUAACUGACGUUGAGGCUCGAAAGCGUGGGGAGCAAACAGGAUUAGAUACCCUGGUAGUCCACGCGGUAAACGAUGAAUACUAGGUGUUGGAGAGCAAAGCUUUUCG